Molecule: transfer RNA, 65 nt
Filed under: Leptoscyphus amphibolius
Lineage: Eukaryota; Viridiplantae; Streptophyta; Jungermanniopsida; Jungermanniales; Lophocoleaceae
Also listed under: 3 other names
Description: partial tRNA-Leu
Source: RNAcentral
UAGACGCUACGGACUAAAAUCCGUUGGCUUUUUAGACCGUGAGGGUUCAAGUCCCUCUACCCCCA